RNAcentral lists this unclassified non-coding RNA (332 nucleotides) under soil metagenome. RNAcentral's name for it is "partial contains 5.8S ribosomal RNA, internal transcribed spacer 2, and large subunit ribosomal RNA". The stretch from base 1 to 120 matches the Rfam family "5.8S ribosomal RNA", at positions 35 to 154 of the family's 154-position model. The record is from RNAcentral.
GAUGAAGAACGUAGCGAAAUGCGAUGAGUAGUGUGAAUUGCAGAAUUCAGUGAAUCAUCGAAUCUUUGAACGCACAUUGCGCCCUUUGGUAUUCCUUAGGGCAUGCCUGUUCGAGCGUCAUUUAAACUUUCAAGCUAAGCUUGGUGUUGGGUGACUGUCCGCUUCACUGCGGACUCGCCUCAAAAUUAUUGGCGGCCGGUACAUUGGCUUCGAGCGCAGCAGAAACGCGAACUCGGGCCCGUCGUAUUGGCUCCCAGAAGCUAUCUUCACAAUUUUGACCUCGGAUCAGGUAGGGAUACCCGCUGAACUUAAGCAUAUCAAUAAGCGGAGGA